GCACUGCCUUGGAACCUUUGUGAGUCUGGCCUGUGACUUCGGGGGUCUCGCGGCAGUGCCAGAGCAGACCCAGCUUGCCCACAUCUGGGCUGCUCAGGUACCACCUUGGCAAUUCCUUUGGCAGAAAGCGACGUUC
This is a small nucleolar RNA of Sciurus carolinensis (gray squirrel), 136 nucleotides long. The record is from RefSeq and is a predicted model, not a curated record. Lineage: Eukaryota; Metazoa; Chordata; Mammalia; Rodentia; Sciuridae.